Molecule: transfer RNA, 77 nt
Filed under: Bifidobacterium boum
Lineage: Bacteria; Bacillati; Actinomycetota; Actinomycetes; Bifidobacteriales; Bifidobacteriaceae
Description: tRNA-Pro
Rfam family: tRNA
About the family: Transfer RNA (tRNA) molecules are approximately 80 nucleotides in length. Their secondary structure includes four short double-helical elements and three loops (D, anti-codon, and T loops).
Source: RNAcentral
CGGGCUGUAGCGCAGUUUGGUAGCGCGCCUGCUUUGGGAGCAGGAUGUCGCAGGUUCGAAUCCUGUCAGCCCGACCG